RNAcentral lists this ribosomal RNA (799 nucleotides) under uncultured Rhizophagus. RNAcentral describes it as "SSU rRNA". It matches the Rfam family "Eukaryotic small subunit ribosomal RNA", at positions 314 to 1114 of the family's 1831-position model. Lineage: Eukaryota; Fungi; Glomeromycota; Glomeromycetes; Glomerales; Glomeraceae. The record is from RNAcentral.
AUCAACUUUCGAUGGUAGGAUAGAGGCCUACCAUGGUGGUAACGGGUAACGGGGUGUUAGGGCACGACACCGGAGAGGGAGCCUGAGAAACGGCUACCACAUCCAAGGAUGGCAGCAGGCGCGCAAAUUACCCAAUCCCGACACGGGGAGGUAGUGACAAUAAAUAACAAUACGGGGUUCUUUUGGAUUUCGUAAUUGGAAUGAGUACAAUUUAAAUCUCUUAACGAGGAACAAUUGGAGGGCAAGUCUGGUGCCAGCAGCCGCGGUAAUUCCAGCUCCAAUAGCGUAUAUUAAAGUUGUUGCAGUUAAAAAGCCCGUAGUUGAAUUUCGGGGUUAGUAGGCUGGUCAUGCCACAGGUAUGCACUGGUCUUACUGAUUCCUCCUUCCUGAUGAACCGUAAUGCCAUUAAUUUGGUGUUGCGGGGAGUCUGGACUGUUACUUUGAAAAAAUUAGAGUGUUUAAAGCAGGCUAACGCUUGAAUACAUUAGCAUGGAAUAACGAAAUAGGACGUUCGAUCUUAUUUUGUUGGUUUCUAGGAUUGACGUAAUGAUUAAUAGGGAUAGUUGGGGGCAUUAGUAUUCAAUUGUCAGAGGUGAAAUUCUUGGAUUUAUUGAAGACUAACUACUGCGAUAGCAUUUGCCAAGGAUGUUUUCAUUAAUCAAGAACGAAAGUUAGGGGAUCGAAGACGAUCAGAUACCGUCGUAGUCUUAACCAUAAACUAUGCCGACUAGGGAUCGGAUGAUGUUAAUUUUAUAAUGACUCAUUCGGCGCCUUACGGGAAACCAAAGUGUUUGGGUUC